This 430-nucleotide ribosomal RNA is filed under the name Pseudomonadota bacterium. RNAcentral's name for it is "Proteobacteria bacterium partial 16S ribosomal RNA". It matches the Rfam family "Bacterial small subunit ribosomal RNA", at positions 355 to 776 of the family's 1533-position model. The record is from RNAcentral. Lineage: Bacteria; Pseudomonadati; Pseudomonadota.
UGGGGAAUAUUGGACAAUGGGGGGAACCCUGAUCAAGCCAUGCCGCGUGUGUGAAGAAGGCCUUAUGGUUGUAAAGCACUUUAAGCGAGGAGGAGGGUACUGGUAUUAAUACUACCAGGUACUGGACGUUACUCGCAGAAUAAGCACCGGCUAACUCUGUGCCAGCAGCCGCGGUAAUACAGAGGGUGCAAGCGUUAAUCGGAAUUACUGGGCGUAAAGCGCGCGUAGGUGGUUCGUUAAGUUGAAUGUGAAAGCCCCGGGCUCAACCUGGGAACUGCAUCCAAAACUGGCGAGCUAGAGUAGGGCAGAGGGUGGUGGAAUUUCCUGUGUAGCGGUGAAAUGCGUAGAUAUAGGAAGGAACACCAGUGGCGAAGGCGACCACCUGGGCUCAUACUGACACUGAGGUGCGAAAGCGUGGGGAGCAAACAGG